GAGUGCCUAAAGUCUAAACAAUAUUUAAGCAGUUAAAGACUAUUUUUUUGCAACAUUGAUUAUGCUACAAUUCUUUUAAGAAUGUUUGAUGAUAGAUUUUCACAUGCAAACAUAUCUAAUGUGGGCAAGCAAGAUAUUGCUUGAAAUAGACCAAUCCUCGAGCGAUAUGCGGGCAACAAUUUGGAUUUAAUAUUGGUCCCCUUAUAGCCCCUUGAGAUAGUAUUUUUUGAAAACUUCAAAAUAUUCAUAAUAAUUGUAGUAUAAAUAGUUCGUGAAUACCAAUAUGCAAAGUUCAAAACAUGCAUGUAAUUAACACAACAUUUGUCUAAUGCAAUUUGGGAGGAAUACUUGUGUUUACUUCUUUUUAUGGUUCUUUUAGUUAGUGGGAAAAAGAAGAAUUAAAGUGGGUUGUUGGGAUUUUUAAGGUAAAAUAUAUAUAAUGUUGUACGUAAUUUUUAUAUUAAAAGCUCAAAAUAUAUAUACCUCAUUUACAAAAGACAGUAUCUUUGUGAUU
This 514-nucleotide long non-coding RNA is filed under the name Brassica napus (rape). RNAcentral's name for it is "long non-coding RNA (BNAP_LNC008764)". The record is from RNAcentral. Lineage: Eukaryota; Viridiplantae; Streptophyta; Magnoliopsida; Brassicales; Brassicaceae.